Non-coding RNA from Arabidopsis thaliana (thale cress), 958 nucleotides. The record is from RefSeq. NCBI's taxonomy places the organism in Eukaryota, Viridiplantae, Streptophyta, Magnoliopsida, Brassicales, Brassicaceae.
AAGUUAAUAAACCACACAAAAAAGUUUUUCUCUCUUCGCUCUCUCGUAGUUUGUAAAGAUAGAAACUGAAAUUUCUUUUGUUUUUGUUAACCGGAUAGUUUUCCGGUGAGUCGCCGUCCCGUUUAAUUCGGGCUUUCGUCCGACAUCUUCUAGCUACGUUAGUGGAGAUGGUUGGCUUUUUGUAUGGCAUCGUUGGCUAACUUAGCGACGUUGGCCAGCUUCCGUACGGCAGCGUUGGGCUUACACUAACAGCGUUGGUCAUCUUUGUUUUUGUUUUGUUACUUCAAAGGUUUGAUGAUGAAGCUUUAUGGCAUGCAGAAUCGUCAGAUCUGAAGAGGGUUUCUCUUUACAAGAUCUAUUCUCCUUCUGUUUUGUUUAGCUUCACUAUUGGGUUAUGCUUUUGGCUCUGGUAGUUUUUCGGCGAUGUGUGCGUUUCCAGCAAUUACCCUCGUUUGGAUCUACCAUAUUUAAGACAGUUUCAAUUUUAUUUUCGCCUAAGAUUGGGUUAAAGCUUCUAUCCUAUGCAAAUUUGAUAUGCCUUUAGUGCUUUUGCAAGAGAGUUCGAAGAUUCAAUGGUUGGACAAGUUUGAACUACUCAAUUUUUUUAAUUUCUUUACCCGUUUUGAUGAAUUAUUUGUGAUUCUAGCAACCAUAUGAGAUUAGGAAAUUGAUGUUUGUUCUAUAACAUCUAAUUGCCAUAAUCGGUGAUAGAAAAAAAGAGUUUCAUUGCUCGGUGCUUUCCCGGCGAUGGUUCUCCGAUUCACCAGACUUGAGUCUCAUCCGGUGGAGGUUGUGGAAGAUUCACGUGUCCUUAGCUUAUUAUUAUUGGUCUGACACGUCUUAAGCUUAUCUCUUUUUUGUGACGUAAAAGUCUGUUGUGGACCUCAUAUGUAGACUGUCUUGAGCCUUUUAUGUUGUAACACUGAGCCUCAGUAUAUUAAAAAUAAAUCUUUCUCUG